GGGGAAGGUAGCUUGCUACUGGACCUAGCGGCGGACGGGUGAGUAAUGCUUAGGAAUCUGCCUAUUAGUGGGGGACAACAUCUCGAAAGGGAUGCUAAUACCGCAUACCUCCUACGGGAGAAAGCAGGGAUCUUGGACCUUGGCUAAAGAUGAGCCUAGUCGGAUUAGCUAGUUGGUGGGUAAAGCCUACCAAGGCGACGAUCUGUAGCGGUCUGANAGGAUGAUCCGCCACACUGGGACUGAGACCCGGCCCAGAUUCCUACGGGAGGCAGCAGUGGGGAAUAUUGGACAAUGGGGGGAACCCUGAUCCAGCCAUGCCGCGUGUGUGAAGAAGGCCUUAUGGUUGUAAAGCACUUUAAGCGAGGAGGAGGCUACUUUAGUUAAUACCUAGAGAUAGUGGACGUUACUCGCAGAAUAAGCACCGGCUAACUCUGUGCCAGCAGCCGCGGUAAUACAGAGGGUGCGAGCGUUAAUCGGAUUUACUGGGCGUAAAGCGUGCGUAGGCGGCUUAUUAAGUCGGAUGUGAAAUCCCCGAGCUAAACUUGGGAAUUGCAUUCGAUACUGGUGAGCUAGAGUAUGGGAGAGGAUGGUAGAAUUCCAGGUGUAGCGGUGAAAUGCGUAGAGAUCUGGAGGAAUACCGAUGGCGAAGGCAGCCAUCUGGCCUAAUACUGACGCUGAGGUACGAAAGCAUGGGGAGCAAACAGGAUUAGAUACCCUGGUAGUCCAUGCCGUAAACGAUGUCUACUAGCCGUUGGGGCCUUUGAGGCUUUAGUGGCGCAGCUAACGCGAUAAGUAGACCGCCUGGGGAGUACGGUCGCAAGACUAAAACUCAAAUGAAUUGACGGGGGCCCGCACAAGCGGUGGAGCAUGUGGUUUAAUUCGAUGCAACGCGAAGAACCUUACCUGGCCUUGACAUACUAGAAACUUUCCAGAGAUGGAUUGGUGCCUUCGGGAAUCUAGAUACAGGUGCUGCAUGGCUGUCGUCAGCUCGUGUCGUGAGAUGUUGGGUUAAGUCCCGCAACGAGCGCAACCCUUUUCCUUACUUGCCAGCAUUUCGGAUGGGAACUUUAAGGAUACUGCCAGUGACAAACUGGAGGAAGGCGGGGACGACGUCAAGUCAUCAUGGUCCUUACGGCCAGGGCUACACACGUGCUACAAUGGUCGGUACAAAGGGUUGCUACACAGCGAUGUGAUGCUAAUCUCAAAAAGCCGAUCGUAGUCCGGAUUGGAGUCUGCAACUCGACUCCAUGAAGUCGGAAUCGCUAGUAAUCGCGGAUCAGAAUGCCGCGGUGAAUACGUUCCCGGGCCUUGUACACACCGCCCGUCACACCAUGGGAGUUUGUUGCACCAGAAGUAGCUAGCCUAACUGCAAA
This 1373-nucleotide ribosomal RNA is filed under the name Acinetobacter baumannii. RNAcentral's name for it is "bacterial SSU rRNA". It matches the Rfam family "Bacterial small subunit ribosomal RNA", at positions 68 to 1445 of the family's 1533-position model. Lineage: Bacteria; Pseudomonadati; Pseudomonadota; Gammaproteobacteria; Moraxellales; Moraxellaceae. The record is from RNAcentral.